CGCGUGAGGAACCUGCCUUUCAGAGGGGGACAACAGUUGGAAACGACUGCUAAUACCGCAUAAUAUAUUGUUGUCGCAUGGCAAUGAUAUCAAAGAUUUAUCGCUGAAAGAUGGCCUCGCGUCUGAUUAGCUAGUUGGUAGGGUAACGGCCUACCAAGGCGACGAUCAGUAGCCGGACUGAGAGGUUGGCCGGCCACAUUGGGACUGAGAUACGGCCCAGACUCCUACGGGAGGCAGCAG
This 240-nucleotide ribosomal RNA is filed under the name uncultured bacterium. Its description in RNAcentral is "partial 16S ribosomal RNA". It matches the Rfam family "Bacterial small subunit ribosomal RNA", at positions 114 to 354 of the family's 1533-position model. The record is from RNAcentral.